Cinara cedri is the source of this 370-nucleotide non-coding RNA. NCBI's taxonomy places the organism in Eukaryota, Metazoa, Arthropoda, Insecta, Hemiptera, Aphididae. The record is from the annotation of a GenBank genome assembly.
AUAAUAUGUAGAAGAGUUGUGUACUCCGUCAACCGAUUUUGACGAAAAACGGGAUUCCUGAAUAGGGUUCCCUACGAAACCUACUCGAAAGGACAUCCAAAGGAGCGUAAACACUAUGGGAGUUAAAGGCGAUUCAAAUCUAAUCACCGGCACUGCUAUGCGAAACGCUUACACCGAUGUAUAUAUAGCUAGUCAUCAAAGAGACCACUUUAAAGAAUAUUAUAAUAUAUUGAUGUACAAGACAAAAUUAAAAAAAGUUACGAAAAUACAAAAUCUCGUUACUUGUUUGUACAGCAUCUGGGAUAUUUUCCAUAUUAUUACACUUUAUUAUCACCAAAAUAUUUUAUUUAUACAAAAACAUCUAACGAGU